AGAUAAGUUACAAAAGCAUAGAACAGAAAAUUAAGGCAAGCAAUUAAUUAAGAAACAUUGUAAAUAGGUGAGUUUUGAGAGCAGUUUUAAAGGUCUGGAGUGAAGAGAUAACACGGAGAUCUUGUGGUAGUUUAUUCCAGAGCUUGGCAGCGGAAAUGCAGAAAGCCCUACCACCCACACUAGAUAGCUGGAAUUUGGGUACUGCAAGCAAAUUUUCAGAGCUCGAUCUCAAAGUACGGGCAGGGACAUAGGGGAGAAUUAAUUCAGAAAGGUAAGAAGGUGCAAACCCAUGACGGGCCUUAAAAACUAAAACAAGAAUCUUAAACUGAAUACGAUAGGUGACAGGGAGCUAAUGUAAUUGCUGUAAAACCGGAGUGAUGUGGGCAUAUUUUUUGGUAAAUGUAAGAACACGAGCAGCUGAAUUUUGGAUAAACUGCCAGCGACUAAGGACUUUGUUGGGUAGGCCAUAAAACAAGGAGUUACAGUAAUCCAGACGCUACGUAAUAAACGCAUGAACAACAGUUUCAGCAUCUUUGAAUUUUAAAGAUGGUCGUAGGCGGACAAUAUUACGAAGGUGAAAAAAACAGGAUUUGACUAGCUGAUUGAUGUGGGAUUCAAAACGUAGACUAGAAUCAAACAUUAUACCAAGAUUGUGUAUAGUGGAGGAAGGAUGAACUAUAACUCCGUCAAUGUUAAUGGAGUAGUCAGGUCGGGAGGAGACAAGGGAUCUAGGGUCAACUAACAGAAAUUCAGUUUUUUCAGUAUUUAACUUUAAGAAAUUUUGUGCCAUCCAUACUUUGAGAUCAUGCAAGCAAGAUGUAAAAGAAGAAGGGGGGGAAAACAGAAUUGGGCUGUAUGGUAAAUCAUCAGCGUAACUGUGGAAAUUUAGACCAUGGCGCCGGAUGAUCUGACCCAGAGGAAGCAUAUAGAUUAAGAAUAGAAGUGGAUCAAGGACAGAUCCUUGAGGCACUCCAAGAGAAAAAGUGACAGAAUGAGAUUUGGAUUUAUCAAUGCUAAUGAACUGUUGCCUGUCUGAGAGAUAUGAACCCAGCCACUGUAAGACAGUAUCAGUAAUACCAAUCUCCGACAAACGAGAUAGGAGUACAGAAUGGCAAACAGUAUCAAAAGCUACACUCAGGUCUAAAAGAACCAGAAGGCUGAGGGCACCCGAAUCAGAAGCAAGGUGGAGGUCAUUCACUACUCUUAGAAGGGCAGUUUCUGUACUAUGGAGAGGGCGAAAUCCGGACUGAAAUGAUUCAUACAGAUUAUUUUUAUCCAAGUGAGUCUGUAAUUGUUUGGCGACCACCUUUUCUAGGACCUUAGAUACAAAAGGAAGGUUAGAAAUUGGUCUGAAAUUACUUAGAACUGACCAGAAAAAGUGUUCUACAUGCAAGUGUUUCUCCUUAGUGUUUGAGCUUGAAACCAGUUACCUUUUUUUGACAUUUUGGUAAUCUAGGUUAGAUCUGAACUUUUUAACAGAAUCUUCACAUGAAACCCAUUGAGACUUAUGAUUAAUUUAAAACUACUGGUUAGAAAGGUGUAGACACUUGACUAAAGUCAUCUUGAUUGACAAACCUUAACGUCUUACCUUACAGCUGCAAAAUAAUUGUACAAUGGCCAAAACAAAUCUCCUAACAAAAUUCAACUUAUUACAAACGCACUACCUUACAACAGGUCAAUAAAAAAAA
Molecule: long non-coding RNA, 1688 nt
Organism: Sinocyclocheilus rhinocerous
Lineage: Eukaryota; Metazoa; Chordata; Actinopteri; Cypriniformes; Cyprinidae
Exons: 2
Source: RefSeq, a predicted model, not a curated record